GCCUCUUUAGCUCAGAUGGUAGCAGCGCUCGCUUUGUAAGCGAAAGGUCAUGGGUUCAAUCCCCAUAGGAGGCU
RNAcentral lists this transfer RNA (74 nucleotides) under Alphaproteobacteria bacterium. Its description in RNAcentral is "tRNA-Thr". It matches the Rfam family "tRNA". From Rfam's summary of the family: Transfer RNA (tRNA) molecules are approximately 80 nucleotides in length. Their secondary structure includes four short double-helical elements and three loops (D, anti-codon, and T loops). The record is from RNAcentral. Lineage: Bacteria; Pseudomonadati; Pseudomonadota; Alphaproteobacteria.